CAGUAGCCGCGGUAAUACGUAGGUGGCAAGCGUUGUCCGGAAUUAUUGGGCGUAAAGCGCGCGCAGGUGGUUUAAUAAGUCUGAUGUGAAAGCCCACGGCUCAACCGUGGAGGGUCAUUGGAAACUGUUAAACUUGAGUGCAGGAGAGAAAAGUAGAAUCCCUAGUGUAGCGGUGAAAUGCGUAGAGAUUAGGAGGAACACCAGUGGCGAAGGCGGCUUUUUGGCCUGUAACUGACACUGAGGCGCGAAAGCGUGGGGAGCAAACAGGAUUAGAUACCCGAGUAGUCCCUGUCUCUUAUAC
RNAcentral lists this ribosomal RNA (301 nucleotides) under uncultured bacterium. RNAcentral's name for it is "partial 16S ribosomal RNA". It matches the Rfam family "Bacterial small subunit ribosomal RNA", at positions 509 to 807 of the family's 1533-position model. The record is from RNAcentral.